Molecule: ribosomal RNA, 245 nt
Filed under: uncultured Bacteroidota bacterium
Lineage: Bacteria; Pseudomonadati; Bacteroidota
Description: uncultured Bacteroidetes bacterium partial 16S ribosomal RNA
Rfam family: Bacterial small subunit ribosomal RNA
Source: RNAcentral
UACGGAGGAUCCAAGCGUUAUCCGGAUUUAUUGGGUUUAAAGGGUGCGUAGGCGGAUAAUUAAGUCAGGGGUGAAAGCCGGCAGCUCAACUGUCGAAUAGCCUUUGAUACUGGUUGUCUUGAGUAUAGUUGAAGUGGGCGGAAUGCGGCAUGUAGCGGUGAAAUGCGUAGAUAUGCCGCAGAACACCGAUAGCGAAGGCAGCUCACUAAGCUAUUACUGACGCUGAUGCACGAAAGCGUGGGUAG